This 279-nucleotide unclassified non-coding RNA is filed under the name plant metagenome. RNAcentral describes it as "partial contains small subunit ribosomal RNA, internal transcribed spacer 1, and 5.8S ribosomal RNA". The record is from RNAcentral.
UUUCCGUAGGUGAACCUGCGGAGGGAUCAUUACAGAGUUCAUGCCCUACCGGGUCGAUCUCCCACCCGAUGUUAUCAUAACUAUGUUGCUUUGGCGGGCCGUUAGGGUUCGGCCCGACUACCGGCCCCGGCCGGUAAGCCCCCGGCCGAGGCCCCACCACCCCGCAUAAUAGUGGCGUCUGAGUAAUAUAUAAGAAUUAAAAAUUUAAACAACCAAUCACUUGGCUCUGGCAUCGCUGAAGAACGCAGAACAUAGGAAGAGGACACGUCUGAACUCCAA